Molecule: ribosomal RNA, 386 nt
Filed under: Eurotiomycetes sp.
Lineage: Eukaryota; Fungi; Ascomycota; Eurotiomycetes
Description: partial small subunit ribosomal RNA
Rfam family: Eukaryotic small subunit ribosomal RNA
Source: RNAcentral
AUUCCAGCUCCAAUAGCGUAUAUUAAAGUUGUUGCAGUUAAAAAGCUCGUAGUUGAACCUUGGGCCUGGCCGAUCUGUCUUCCUAACCGUUGUACGGAGUCGGUCGGGCCUUUCCUUCUGGGGAACCUCAUGCCCUUUAUUGGGCGUGCUGGGGAACCAGGACUUUUACCUUGAAAAAAUUAGAGUGUUCAAAGCAGGCCUUUGCUCGAAUACAUUAGCAUGGAAUAAUGGAAUAGGACAGCAGUUCUAUUUUGUUGGUUUCUAGGACCGCUGUAAUGAUUAAUAGGGAUAGUCGGGGGCGUCAGUAUUCAAUUGUCAGAGGUGAAAUUCUUGGAUUUAUUGAAGACUAACUAUUGCGAAAGCAUUCGCCAAGGAUGUUUUCAUUG